AUGCUCAAAAGUUAUAUUAUAAGGAACAACUCUAGUCCUUACAGCUCCCCUGCUAUCUUAGUUAAGAAAAAGGACAAUACUUGGACGUUGUGCAAUGAUUUCAGGAAGGUCAACUCACACACAAUCAAAAACAAGUACCCCAUACCUGUCAUAGAGGAUUUACUUGAUGAAUUAAAUGGAGCUAGAAUCUUUAGCAAGAUUGACCUGAAAAGUGGAUAUUGCCAAAUCAGGAUGAAAGAAGAGGACGUCCACAAGACUGCUUUUAGUACUCACCUAGGACACUAUGAGUACUUAGUUAUGGCCUUUGGAUCGACCAAUGCACCACAAGACCGCUUUUAG
This 339-nucleotide ribosomal RNA is filed under the name Triticum aestivum (bread wheat). RNAcentral describes it as "partial small subunit ribosomal RNA". The record is from RNAcentral. Lineage: Eukaryota; Viridiplantae; Streptophyta; Magnoliopsida; Poales; Poaceae.